CUUUUUCCUCUUUUGAUGGUGUGAGAGGAUCUGUCCGUCAGCUGAGAGACAAACUGGAGGAUUUCUGCAAAGAGGAGCUCAAGAAGAUCUCUGACAGAGUCACUUUCACCAACAUUGUUCCCAGGACCAGGUACGACUUCUUACAAUAUUACCAUCAGCUCACUCUGGAUCUGAACACAGCACAUAAAUACCUGCGUCAGACUGAGGAGAACAGAGUGAUUACUCUCACUAACAGAGUCCAGCCAUAUCCUGAUCAUCCAGACAGAUUUGAAGGGUGUCAGGUGUUGUGUAGAGAGAGUGUGUGUGGACGCUGUUACUGGGAGAUUGAGUGGAGUGGGCAUCAUUCGGAGGGAAUACAAUGAUUUGACGAACAUUGUAUUAUCCUACGCCUUCCACAGAUCAUCGAGGCAUGGACUCAACUAGACCCCUGAAGGUGUGCUGUAGUAUCUGAUACCAAGAUGUUAGCAGCAGAUCCUUUAAGAUCCCAAGCAGAUCCCAACUUGUAAGUUGCAAGGUGGAGCCUCCAUGGAUCGGAUUUAUUUGUCCAGCACAUCCCACAGAUGCUCGAUUGAAUUGAGAUCUGGGGAAUUUGAAGGCCAAGUCAACACCUCAAACUCGUUGUUGUGCUCCUCAAACCAUUCCUGAACCAUUUUUGCUUUGUGGCAGGGUGCAUUAUUCUGCUGAAAGAGGCCACAGCCACCAGGGAAUACCGUUUCCAUGAAAGGGUGUACAUGGUCUGCAACAAUGCUUAGGCAUGUGGUACAUGUCAAAGUAACAUCCACAUGGAUGGCAGGACCCAAGGUUUCCCAGCAGAACAUUGCCCAAAGCAUCACACUGCCUCUGCCGGCUUGCCUUCUUCCCAUAGUGCAUCCUGGUGCCAUGUGUUCCCCAGGUAAGCAACGCACACACGGGCCAGCCUUUGCUCCCCACAUGCAUCAGUGAUCCUGUUGCCGGUUCACCACUGUUCCUUCCUUGGACCACUUUUGAUAGAUACUGACCACUGCAGACUGGGAACACCCCACAAGAGCUGCAGUUUUGGAGAUGCUCUGACCCAGUUGUCUAGCCAUCACAAUUUGGCCCUUGUCAAAUUUGAUCAAAUCCUUAUGCUUGCCCAUUUUUCCUGCUUCUAACACAUCAACUUUGAUGACAAAAUGUUCACUUGCAGCCUAAUAUAUCCCACCCACUAACAGGUGCCGUGAUGAAGAGAUAAUCAGUGUUAUUCACUUCACCUGUUAGUGCUCAUAAUGUUAUGCCUGAUCAGUGUAUAUAUACAUACAUAUUUAGACCACUUAACUUAGUGAUUUCUAUCAGGAUGUAAAGAAACUUUCAACCAGUUUCUUUACAUCCUGAACAGGAUUUUUCAAAAAAAAUAAAAAAAAAUAAAAUAAAAAAAAAUUCUGGAACAAAUGACUUACCCUGCCUUUAAUAGGACUAAAUCAUGUGACACAUCCUACUAACCUGAGCUCCACCUUUCAUUCUGGGAAACAGUAUCAACAAUAAUGUCAACUUAUGACAUAAAAUUUGCCUUAUCUCAGAGGACUAACCUGAAAACAAGAGAGCAAAGUGCAAAAGAAGGAUGGAGGAUUGGAAUUUUUUUGUAAAACAAUAUCAUAUACUUUUACCUUUGCACUAUGUCUGUAUAUUUUUUUUUUAGAUUAAAAUUUACGGUGACUGGGAAGGGACAUGUUCAGUUCACUUAGUUUUGUCGUGGCCAUAGUAAGUAUAUGUAGUUAAAUAUUAUUACUCAGUACUCAAGUGUCUAAUUUUAUAGUAACAGGGACACCGUAAAAUAAAGUGUAACCAUAUAAAUAACAGAUUACCGCAACAUAGCAGCACUAAUUAUGAACCAACCCAAAGGAAAUAUUGCUAAAGCAAAGUAUAUUCUGUGAAGACGCUCAGUGUUUAUAAUCAUUGAUAGACAGUGCUGACAUAUUUCUUGUUGUAUCAGUAAUCCUACUGAUAGUUAGAAAUCGUGCACGCCACUCCCUCUGCACGCCACUGUGCAUCAGUAUAUUCGUUCACGGGGAAUCAAAACUUGCAUUUCUUGCAGCAUGAUCUACCAGUCGAUUUCUAUGGAAGCCGUUUCCGCCACUAAAUAAAAAAAUAAAAACAGUAAUUACGACUUUGUAUUCUGACUUUUUUUUCUCACAAUUGCGAGUUAUAAAGUCAGAAUUCUGAGAUAUAAACUCGCAAUUGUGUGAAACUGCACAUUGUGUGAAUUGUGUGUGAACUGCGAUAUAUAAACUGCAGUUUAUAUAUCACGCAAUUGCGAGUAUAUAUCUCAGAAUGGUGACUUUAUAACUCGCAACUGUGAGAAAAAACGGGCUUCCAUAGGAUUUCCCCAAUCACUGAGGAGGGUAAGCAGAUAUUUCUAAUGUUUUUGAUACUUAGGGAUAGUUUUUUUUUUUCCUUUUCCUAAAUCCAUAAAUAACAUCCUUUUAAACUGUGACAUUGUCAUAGGAUCACAAGAUGGCAGGAUUACACUUUCUUUGUGGAAAAUAGUCAGUUUGCUUUAUCUGUGACAUUUAGCCAUUUUAAAAGACCUUUUAAAUUGUAUUCUUUUAUAUAUCGCUCAGACCAUAAUUAUCGUUUUACAAACUGUGUAUAUAUACAGUUCAAAAGUACAGGUUUUCUAAGAUUUUUUUUUUUUUUUUAAUUAAUACUUUUAUAUGGCAAGUGUGCAUUAAAUGGAUCAAACAUGACAGUAAAGACAUUUAUAAUAGAUUUAAAUUUCAAAUAAAUGCUGUUCUUUCUAUUCGUCAAAGAAUCCUGAAAAUCUUAAUAAUGCAUGUUUCUUAAGCAGCAAAUCAGCAUGUUAGAAUGAUUUCUGAAGGAUCAUGUGACACUGAAGACUGGAGUAAUGAUGCUGAAAAUUCAGCUUUGAUCACAGGAAUAAAUUACAUUAUAAAAUACAAUAUAUAUAAGCAAUCAUACUGAAACCAAACUUUUGAAAGAUAGUGUGUUUCUGACAGGGGGUAUGGCUCUGUUCGGGGCAAGAACUCCCUUCAAAACUGCAAAAGGCUAUGAUUUCAUUGAAUAAAUAUGAGCUCUGGCACAUUCCGUCUGAUGGAAACAGAGAACAAGAUUCUUAUGGAACUUGAUAAAGAUGACAUCAUUGACAAGAUGGCAGAGAGCAGUAAGCUACUGCGCCACCUACAGGUUUACUAGUGCCAAUUACUUUCUGUUUACUCUUACUGUUUUUUUCUUAUGCUAUCUGUGAGUGAACAUUGUAAUCUGUUGUUACUUAUCUGUUGUUGUAGUUCAUUUUUGUGUGUAUUUGUGUUUCUGAUACUUUUGAUAUACUUGAGCAUUGGAAAUACAUACAUUUCAAUGUUUGAACUGUUUAUCUCUCAUUAUCUCUUUUUAAAAAGUGUAAGCCAAUUGUAUAUUAGUCUGUAUGGUAGUAUAGAUGGUGUAUACCUAGUGAGUUUUUGAGGGUUCAUCUAUAGAUAUAUAUAGUGUACCUUGACAACUCAGUAUGAAGAUAGAUCACUUGUUGGUCAGUGCCAUUUUUUUGUUGGGAAUUUAUAAUUCGUCUGGUAGUCUACCUGAUACAACAACUAAUAGGUGAUUGCAGUCAAUCAAUAGAAAAUGUAAGUAUGUUGUUAGGAUUAUUUGUCUUGGAAUAAAUUGUAACCCUCUUGAAAUUGCAGUGAAGAAAAUGAAACAAAACCAAAACAACAAUACCAACAAUAAUUCAAACAGUAAACCCUAAAACAACAAAAGUAUCAGAAUUCAAAAUCUAUUCAAUAGUCGGAAUCAGAUUCCAAAUUACAAAAUCAGUUUCUGGAAUUAAACCUCAAUUCCCAAUUUCAAUAUUUAGAUACUCAGUUUCAAAAUCAGUGUCUCAAUUUCAAAUUUGGUUUCUCAAAUUCAAUAUCAGUUUCUCAAUACCAAGUUCAGUGUUUCAGUUUCAAGUUUAGAGUCUCAAUAUCAAGUUCAAAAAGUUAAUGGAAAGUAAUGUUUAUCAAAUAAAUUAAAAAAAUCUAGUCCAUGAGGAAAAACUUAAUGUUUGAUCCAGGAAAAUCCAGGAAAGCAAAAAUUGGAAAAGGUUCAAAGUGAAAAUAGUUCUGUCCUACCAGAUUGGCAAAUUCACUCUUGUUUUGCUCUGUUUCCAGGCACGAAAUGAUGGGAUGGCUCGCCAGACCAAACCAAGAAUAAGAAUUUGCAGCGCGGACAGGAUUCAGGAUCACAGCAUCAAUCAUUCAGCAUAUCAAAGAGAAAAGAGGAAUAAUAAUAAUAAUAAUAAUAAUAAUAAUAAUAUUAAUAAUAAUAAUAAUAAAACAGCCUUGCAAAAACAAAGCCAAAAACAGUCAUUAGUAUUACUCAAUCAUUCAAAUAAACCGUUUGAAAUUCACUAAAUUGUAGAGUUUCACUCAUCUGCAUAAAUAAAAU
Molecule: long non-coding RNA, 4395 nt
Organism: Ctenopharyngodon idella (grass carp)
Lineage: Eukaryota; Metazoa; Chordata; Actinopteri; Cypriniformes; Xenocyprididae
Exons: 3
Source: RefSeq, a predicted model, not a curated record